This 713-nucleotide long non-coding RNA is filed under the name Anser brachyrhynchus (Pink-footed goose). Its description in RNAcentral is "lncRNA (ENSABRG00000006217.1)". The record is from RNAcentral. Lineage: Eukaryota; Metazoa; Chordata; Aves; Anseriformes; Anatidae.
UGCAAAUGAUAACAUAGGUUAUCUUGGCUUCAGAAGCUUCUUUCAGCUCCUCUCGUUGGAGAAAAUCUUUGGUACUCGAAGAUCACACAGUGGAAUCCUGACCCACUGAAGGCUCCAGUAUAUUCAGUUACGCUUACAGAUACCUGCCUUGUGUCAUUGUGAUUUUAAGUUUUGAAGAUGCUGAGGACCAGCAGCAGCUCCUGCAAACUUCAUUGGCAGCUGGGAAGAAUCAACAGUGAGAAGUCAUCCUAUGGGUGCCUUCACUCUAUGGGAAGGACUGGUUGUGAAGUUUGCCGAAGAGGUAAAUUAAAUCUAGGGUCUCUAGUGCACAGAGAAACACCUGAAAAACACCAGUUUUAAAGGGGACGUGACACCGGUUAUAUGAACUCAGUUCUGCCUGAACAGGCUUCGGGAUGUCUAACAGCCUUUGAGGAGAGCCAAGGCUACAAAAUUCUAUGAGCUCAGAAUUGCUGGGGGUGUACAGAUGCACAGGUUUGUGAUGUUAUUCGCCGAGAUGAUCAUCAGAAAUAGAGUAGGAACAUGUGUGUCUGGCCCCUGGAACAAAGAGGUGUUAAAUGGUGUUACUCCUGUUCUAGAAGGAUUACUCACAGAAAAAUAAUAUGCCAAAGAUAGGGCUUAGAUUGAAAGGAUUUUAAGAAUAGCAGAGAAAAAUCCAUCCCCAACUCUAUGUGAAAUAAACUGAUGGUUUCGAC